ACAAUCAGAAACAGAAUGAUUUGGGAAAGCAAUAUUUACUGUGCAAAUGUAGAACAAGGGCGAAGAAACCGGAAGCAGAAUUUUAUCUUAACGAGCUGACAAGACAACGCCUUCCAAAAAGUGGCCGAGAGCCCUGGUCCCUUCUCAACCACUGGAAGCUAACCAUGGCCAGGUAGGGAGCUCCAGCCAGGAGAUACAAGGCUGGAAGACUCCUCCAUGAUACCCAUGUGCCGCAAUAGGUAGAAAUACAAUGUCUACUAGACCCCCCUAUAAUAUCCAUAUAUCCCAAUAGAUUGAAAUGUAAUGUCCGGUAGACACCCCCCUAUGAUAUUCAUAUACACUAAAAGGUUGAAAUACAAUGUCCGGUAGACCCCCUCUAUGAUAUCCAUACACCCCACCCAAUAGUUUGAAAUACAACGGCCGGUAGACCGCCUCUAUAACUAUAAGCCCUAAUAGGAUGAACUACAACAUUCAGUAGCCCCCUCUAUGAUAUCCAUACACCCCACCCAAUAGGAUGGAAUACAAUGGCCGGUAGACCCCCUCUAUGAUACUCUAUACCUCAAUAAGCCACACGGACAGCCAUUGUCUUCAUAAGGUAAAUGCUUUACAUGAUCACCAUGGACAAGCUGUGAAUGAAGGUGGUCAGUUUGAGUACAGCACCGUCACGUCAUGUGGGUACGCCGUAGUGACAAGCGCGGAGAAUGCGGCCCCGGGUUGGGCAUGUAUGUACGCUCUGCACUCUGAGGUCUCUUGGCUCUUCCUAUAACUUCAGCUCACAAGCAUGACAAGGUAAAGGGUUAUGACAAACUCUGUUGGAGGGCACAACUCGGACAAACUCCGAGGGCACAUUUGAAGAGCAAAUUACUUCCAUACUUGAUGCCGGAGUGUGAAGGACACGUCUGUCAUAUGGCGACAUCUCUUAGAACGUCACUCUGCAAAUGUGGUGACUCAACCCAUCAACACACUGGGAAAAACGCCUGAGGUGUCUCCUUCCUGGUGGACAGAUUCCCGAAACAGGAGAUGGACGGCAGCCAAGGGGUCAAGUUGAUAAUUUCCAAUGAAUGCCAUCGAGAAUUAUAUGAGGCGUAAGGCUGUAAUGUGAAAUCAUUCACAGGAACGAGUUAAGGAGGUGAGCUAACAUUCGCCACCUACGUGAUGGGAACCGUGUAUUACCCAUCCAGGAAGGGCACAGCGACUAAGGAAUAACCGUCUGGAGAAAUGUCAGACUCACCUGAAAUUCAAUCAGAUGUUAAAACAUUUGACGACCUGAAGAAUCUGAUUAAGUAUCACAAUGGACAAAUUUUAAGGAACUGCACCCGCUGUGUGGUCCACGUGAGACACGUCUGCCAGGAAUAACGAGGACGAUGGGCAGCAGGACCCAACAGAGCUCAGCUGUCAUUUCUUAAAGGGGUUGUCUGGACAGUGAGUGAUGAAGGAAGACCAGCGCUAUAUAAGCACGGCUGCCGACUUCCAGAAAAAGCGCCACCCCUGCCCAUGUCUGGUACUGCAGCUCAGCCCCACCGACGUGAAGGACGUCCCCCACCACACCAAGAGGGGACCUGCUCUAAAAAGCAGAUCUCAGCAGACGUCUCUCCGGUCUUUUCACUAAGGACCCGAAAUCUGUAGGAAAAAGGUGCAGUUUCACCAGCUGACCCACAGGACUGGGAAGACUAUCAAACUAUUAAAGAGGACCUUUCACCAGUUCUUACUUUAUAAAAGCGAAACCUCACACUGUAGCCCAUGUUCCCUAGAUGUCAUAUCGCGAUUUUUUUUCAUGAUAUGCCCCUCUGUUGCGCCCCUGUGUCCCUCGUUCUGUUUCAAAGCAAGAGUUGAACGCCACUCCUUAUUUAGUGUGGAUGGUGCUCAGUGGUAAGUAUAAUACCAAUGUUGAUAGGAAGACCACGGCACUCAAAAGAGAAUGUUGCAUCAAUAUCUUUAUUUUAUAUAUUUUGUUUUAUAUAUCCAUCCGGAAUUUUUUUUUAUUCACAGUGGUAUACUGGCCAACGUUUCGGUCUUAUCCAAGACCUUGUUCACGGCCUGAGUGUUUUCGGUAGUAGAGGCAUCAGAU
Bufo gargarizans (Asiatic toad) is the source of this 2068-nucleotide long non-coding RNA. RefSeq lists it as uncharacterized. NCBI's taxonomy places the organism in Eukaryota, Metazoa, Chordata, Amphibia, Anura, Bufonidae. The transcript has 3 exons. The record is from RefSeq and is a predicted model, not a curated record.